Molecule: transfer RNA, 72 nt
Filed under: Streptococcus agalactiae
Lineage: Bacteria; Bacillati; Bacillota; Bacilli; Lactobacillales; Streptococcaceae
Description: tRNA-Glu
Rfam family: tRNA
About the family: Transfer RNA (tRNA) molecules are approximately 80 nucleotides in length. Their secondary structure includes four short double-helical elements and three loops (D, anti-codon, and T loops).
Source: RNAcentral
CGUCCGUUGGUCAAGGGGUUAAGACACCGCCUUUUCACGGCGGUAACACGGGUUCGAAUCCCGUACGGACUA